UCUGGAGUUUGGCAGAGGGGGGUGGAAUUCCACGUGUAGCAGUGAAAUGCGUAGAGAUGUGGAGGAACACCAAUGGCGAAGGCAGCCCCCUGGGUCGAUACUGACGCUCAUGCACGAAAGCGUGGGUAGCAAACAGGAUUAGAUACCCUGGUAGUCCACGCCCUAAACGAUGUCAACUAGGUGUUGGGAGGGUAAAACCUUUUAGUGCCGUAGCUAACG
Molecule: ribosomal RNA, 219 nt
Filed under: uncultured Candidatus Accumulibacter sp.
Lineage: Bacteria; Pseudomonadati; Pseudomonadota; Betaproteobacteria
Description: partial 16S ribosomal RNA
Rfam family: Bacterial small subunit ribosomal RNA
Source: RNAcentral